Molecule: long non-coding RNA, 637 nt
Filed under: Trifolium pratense (red clover)
Lineage: Eukaryota; Viridiplantae; Streptophyta; Magnoliopsida; Fabales; Fabaceae
Description: long non-coding RNA (TPRA_LNC011531)
Source: RNAcentral
AACAUGCUCAGUUUCUGCAUGAAACGGUAGUGGUUGGGUUUCAUUUUUUAGCCCACGCUAUAUAUUGUUGUAGCUGCUCAGAUUCAUUCUUCCUACAGUUUCCCUCCUCCCUUCACAAUUCUUUGAUUGUUGGUGUGGUUUUGGAUGGUUGUGCACCGGUUCUAGUUGCCUUCAUCACGCCGGUGGACUUGAAUUGUUUGGCUAGAUAUAGUUUGUUAACUUGUUGUCCAAUGUCAUAGCGAGUUGUUGGCUUAUGGUUCUGUUAUAUGUUGGUCGUCACACUCACUACAUUCCUAAAUCUUAGUUCAUAUGGACUUGUAUCCAGUUCUUGCUUGUGUUCGUUCGUGCAUCACUAUUUUUUUACAAUUUAGUUUUAGGUUCGUACGGUGGCCCGCUGGAUUGUGUUGGUGAUGUGUAUAAGUAUGUUUGUUAUUUUUUGUACCCUUUUGAGUUGAUUUCAUUUUGUACUUUUGUUUUUAUUUAUUUAAGUGAAUCAUAGGCUAAUGUUACGGUCAGUGGCGGAGCCAGAAACUUUUAACAGUGGGGGCAUUAAAUGCCUAAAUUUGUAGCAUAAAAUAUAUACUGUCAAAUUAUAUUUUUAUAGAUGGAUCCAAUUUUAUAAUUUCAUAUUCAUCAG